RNAcentral lists this ribosomal RNA (222 nucleotides) under Clostridioides sp. ZZV14-6044. RNAcentral describes it as "partial 16S ribosomal RNA". It matches the Rfam family "Bacterial small subunit ribosomal RNA", at positions 416 to 656 of the family's 1533-position model. Lineage: Bacteria; Bacillati; Bacillota; Clostridia; Peptostreptococcales; Peptostreptococcaceae. The record is from RNAcentral.
UUUCGGGUCGUAAAACUCUGUCCUCAAGGAAGAUAAUGACGGUACUUGAGGAGGAAGCCCCGGCUAACUACGUGCCAGCAGCCGCGGUAAUACGGAGGGGGCUAGCGCUAUCCGGAUUUUCUCGGCGUAAAGGGUGCGUAGGCGGUCUUUCAAGUAAGGAGUGAAAGGCUACGGCUCACCCGCAGUACGCUCUUGACACUGGGAGACUUGAGUGCAGGAGAG